RNAcentral lists this ribosomal RNA (637 nucleotides) under uncultured bacterium. Its description in RNAcentral is "bacterial SSU rRNA". It matches the Rfam family "Bacterial small subunit ribosomal RNA", at positions 607 to 1244 of the family's 1533-position model. The record is from RNAcentral.
GCUCAACCGAGGAAGUGCUUCGAAAACUGGUAAACUUGAGUGCAGAAGAGGAAAGUGGAACUCCAUGUGUAGCGGUGGAAUGCGUAGAUAUAUGGAAGAACACCAGUGGCGAAGGCGGCUUUCUGGUCUGUAACUGACGCUGAGAUUCGAAAGCAUGGGUAGCAAACAGGAUUAGAUACCCUGGUAGUCCAUGCCGUAAACGAUGAGUGCUAAGUGUUGGAGGGUUUCCGCCCUUCAGUGCUGCAGCUAACGCAUUAAGCACUCCGCCUGGGGAGUACGACCGCAAGGUUGAAACUCAAAGGAAUUGACGGGGGCCCGCACAAGCGGUGGAGCAUGUGGUUUAAUUCGAAGCAACGCGAAGAACCUUACCAGGUCUUGACAUACCAUGAAAAGCUUAGAGAUAAGUCUUUCCCUUCGGGGACAUGGAUACAGGUGGUGCAUGGUUGUCGUCAGCUCGUGUCGCGAGAUGUUGGGUUAAGUCCCGCAACGAGCGCAACCCUUAUUAUCAGUUGCCAGCAUUCAGUUGGGCACUCUGGUGAGACUGCCGGUGACAAACCGGAGGAAGGUGGGGACGACGUCAAAUCAUCAUGCCCCUUAUGACCUGGGCUACACACGUGCUACAAUGGUCGGUACAACG